CCAUCCCUUCUUGUUCAGAAACUUUAACGCCAUCUUUCACACCUUUUUAUACACUCUCACAUUCUCUCAAGUAUUGCUUCUCUAAGAAUUCUUGAAUGUCAGUCUCUUCUUGUGAAAUGUCAGCCUUAGCUCCCCUAGGUUUUUAUAGUGAGGCUUCAAACUGGUGCCAGCAACCAACUAUUGCCUUUCAAAUUAUGAAGUGUUUUUAUAAUAGAAAAGCUGAAGACAAUCAUUCCUCUUUCGCCUUAACAAAUUGCACCAUUAAAAGCUCUGGUUUAUAAGACACUUUCCCCCAAAACCCUUCUCCGCCUUUUAGAAAAUCUUCUGCUCUCGUCUUCUAAUGUUCUCUGUAGCGAAUAAAUCUACAGUAAUAAAGCAACAAUUCCUAAGAUCACAAGAGGGCGUGAAAGGGAAAAUAUACUAGAUGAAGACCGAGACCGCCUCCAUUUGUGUGUUGCGCUUUGUAAUUACAGGGAGCACUAUUCAAUUUGGAUCGAUCGAACGUUAGGCAUUUCAAUGCUUUUACAAGCUUGUUCCACUGUAAAAGGUUGCCAAAGAUGCAUUUAUGGAUGCAUUAAGACACACUACAAAAGCUUUAGAAUUUGUCUGGCGCAUCCAUAAAGCAUAGCAAGGCACUCUAGCGUUGGCACUGCAUGGAAUUCAGGCAUCCUUCUCUGAAAAAAGAUAAAAAUGUCAUUCAUGAGAUGAUGACUACAUUUAUCCUUGAUAAGAAAGCCUAAAGUUAGGGGGGUGGGUUUGAGAUCCAACUAGAACCAAGUAACCCAUUCCUUACAUGUCCAGCAACCGAGUGGGCACAAGCAUUCAUCCUUCUGGGAAUAUAAGACAAUGACCAGCCAGAAAAAGAAAACUAAAUACACUUAAUAUCACGAACAACAGUCUCUAACUCCCAAGGAAUGAGAAUUAGAGGAGAAUUCAUGCAAGAGAUCAACCGGAGGUGAUGAACCUUGAAAAUGUUGCUUCACUCGUAUGGUCUCACUUUUAUUAUUUUAGCCAUAAGGGACUUGCAAGCGAAGAAAAUGGAUUAAAGGUCCACCAGAGCUGUCAUAAUGAUAACUAUUCGAUGCUCAAGUUAGAGGGACA
RNAcentral lists this unclassified non-coding RNA (1101 nucleotides) under Hevea brasiliensis (rubber tree). Lineage: Eukaryota; Viridiplantae; Streptophyta; Magnoliopsida; Malpighiales; Euphorbiaceae. The record is from RNAcentral.